GGGAUUGUAGCUCAGUGGUAGAGCACUUACCUUGCACGCAUGAGGUCCUGGGUUCGAUCCUCAGCACCA
Molecule: transfer RNA, 69 nt
Filed under: Ictidomys tridecemlineatus (thirteen-lined ground squirrel)
Lineage: Eukaryota; Metazoa; Chordata; Mammalia; Rodentia; Sciuridae
Description: Spermophilus tridecemlineatus (thirteen-lined ground squirrel) tRNA
Rfam family: tRNA
About the family: Transfer RNA (tRNA) molecules are approximately 80 nucleotides in length. Their secondary structure includes four short double-helical elements and three loops (D, anti-codon, and T loops).
Source: Rfam by way of RNAcentral